Molecule: ribosomal RNA, 255 nt
Filed under: uncultured bacterium
Lineage: Bacteria
Description: partial 16S ribosomal RNA
Rfam family: Bacterial small subunit ribosomal RNA
Source: RNAcentral
UACAGAGGGUGCGAGCGUUAAUCGGAAUUACUGGGCGUAAAGCGUGCGUAGACGGUUAUUUAAGUCGGGUGUGAAAGCCCCCGGGCUCAACCUGGGGAAUUGCAUUCGAGACUGAAUAGCUAGGGUACGGUAGAGGGAAGUGGAAUUUCCAGUGUAGCGGUGAAAUGCGUAGAUAUCGGAAGGAACAUCAGUGGCGAAAGCGGCUCACUGGACCGGUUCUGACGCUGAGGCGCGAAAGCGUGGGGAGCAAACGGG